UGCUAAUACGUUCGCAUAUUAAGACGUCGGAAAACGUGUCUAAGGUUCGUGACAAUAUCGGCCAAAUGUCUUGAAAAAGUCGAACAAUGGGGUGUAGCUCUCCCGCCGGAGAUGGGGGGUGAACGAGAGACAAAAAAAUCGUAACGAUAUCAAUAUUGUCAGCCAGUGCUUCUAACUCUGCCUGAGUGGGAUUUAGCUUAACUUGCGCCAGCAAAAUACUCUGAAGUGAGGGUGCAAGAAAACUGUGCACAGAUUGGUAUACAUUCGCAACUGGCUGAAUGUCUACGAUGUGAGCCAAGCCUUGGGCAACUUCCAUGAGUGGGUCAGGAGCUAAGUACGUUUUGGCAUUUAAGUAAAACAUGUGUAAUUGGGAGAGAUGACCAACCAGUUGUUCCCUACAAUCAUAGCAGAAGUGCUUCAAGGCUUGAGCGGCUGCACUUUGAACCUCUUUAUUUGCAACCUCAAAACCAGCAGAAAUAUAAUUAAGUUGCAAUUCUAAAAAUUCUGAAUGUUGCGCAGUCCAUUCUGUGUAUCUACCAAGGAAUAGUGUAGCUGCAUAUCGAACUUUAUUGUUUUCUGGCAAUUGAGGAAGGAUUUGGAAAAGGCUACCGAUGACUUGAUCCUCGUUGGCAGGAACCAUUCUACCAAUGGCUCUUAAAGCAAAUAACGGAGCUUCGACAUCCUGCCAGUAGUAAGGAAGACCAGACUCCUUAAUUUUGAGCACUUUGAUAAGCUGACUAGAAAUCUGAACCAAACAAGAAGAUACACCAGCAACGACACAGCAAUCCUUGAGGACAUCACCCAUUUCAUGUCGAAAAGACCGAAAACGAUCUUCAGCAUCCCUAUCCUCAAAUAAUACUUCAUUAGAAGCCAUUUGCUCAUUUAUAGCCAAAUCUUCAGUUCGUGGAUAAUGCAAGUGACGCACAAUAAUACGAACCAACUCUAAAUAUAUAGGAGCAAAUAGCUGACGAGCUUCAGCAUAAACAUCCAACUCUACCAUUUGUUUGAGAUCCCACCAAAAUGCGAAUGUAAAUUUAAUCGCUUCCAGCUCUGUAUCGUUAGCUGCAACUUGAGCAAUGCAGUUUACUAAAGGCAAAAAAUCAUUCGGCAUCCUAGCAAUCAAAACAACCCAAGCUUCACCAGCCUCGGCAAAAAGCCUUCCUAGUGCACGAAAAGUUUCUGGGUCAUCACAGGCCGCAAUAAGUUUAGGCUGAAGUUCAAGUAAACGUGGAUAGAGCAUCAGUAUGGCAUCAGUAGUUUCAUCAACAUCUUUAGUCUCAUUAAAAAGGGCACAUAGAAAUUCUACAGCAUCUUCUAACAGUAAGUCAUCAUCCAGAGAACGGAAAGCAAGUUCAAUUAAGGGAGAAGCCAUAACUUUAUCAAGGGGAAUUUCUCUCAACCAGGAAAUCAAACUCGUAAGAACAAGACCAAGGUCAGCGCUCGAAGGAGAUCCUGAAGCACGGACAGCAUCGACAUAUUGCACCAGAAGCUCGAGUACUGCUGGACCGUUAUCACGAAGAAGUUCAUCAACACGAAUACAUAACUCCUCCCAACUCAAUGAAGUUUUCCUUGGAUCACUAGCUUCUUCAGGGAGUACUGAUAAAAACUGUAAAACACAUCUUCCACUGGGGUCUUUGGAGCUACAGGCUUGAAAAACAUCGGCUAUAACAUUAUGCCAUUCAGUCAUAUGUAAAGCAAUUGCAGCCAUACAAACAGCCAAUGAUACCAAUAAAGGUCUUGGACUAU
This 1746-nucleotide long non-coding RNA is filed under the name Schizosaccharomyces pombe (fission yeast). Lineage: Eukaryota; Fungi; Ascomycota; Schizosaccharomycetes; Schizosaccharomycetales; Schizosaccharomycetaceae. The record is from RNAcentral.